This 468-nucleotide ribosomal RNA is filed under the name uncultured bacterium. Its description in RNAcentral is "partial 16S ribosomal RNA". It matches the Rfam family "Bacterial small subunit ribosomal RNA", at positions 28 to 507 of the family's 1533-position model. The record is from RNAcentral.
GACGAACGCUGGCGGCGUGCUUAACACAUGCAAGUCGAACGGAAAGGCCCUGCUUUUGUGGGGUGCUCGAGUGGCGAACGGGUGAGUGACACGUGAGUAACCUGCCCUUGACUUUGGGAUAACUUCAGGAAACUGGGGCUAAUACCGGAUAGGAGCUCCUGCUGCAUGGUGGGGGUUGGAAAGUUUCGGCGGUUGGGGAUGGACUCGCGGCUUAUCAGCUUGUUGGUGGGGUAGUGGCUUACCAAGGGUUUGACGGGUAGCCGGCCUGAGAGGGUGACCGGCCACAUUGGGACUGAGAUACGGCCCAGACUCCUACGGGAGGCAGCAGUGGGGAAUAUUGCACAAUGGGCGGAAGCCUGAUGCAGCAACGCCGCGUGCGGGAUGACGGCCUUCGGGUUGUAAACCGCUUUCGCCUGUGACGAAGCGUGAGUGACGGUAAUGGGUAAAGAAGCACCGGCUAACUACGUG